This 216-nucleotide ribosomal RNA is filed under the name Glomeromycotina sp. RNAcentral's name for it is "partial small subunit ribosomal RNA". The stretch from base 40 to 216 matches the Rfam family "Eukaryotic small subunit ribosomal RNA", at positions 686 to 864 of the family's 1831-position model. The record is from RNAcentral. Lineage: Eukaryota; Fungi; Glomeromycota.
GGGUCAGUAGGUUGGUCGUGCCACCGGUACGUACUGGUCUCACUGCUUCCUCCUUCCUGAAGAACCGUAAUGCCAUUAAUUUGGUGUUGCGGGGAAACAGGACUGUUACUUUGAAAAAAUUAGAGUGUUUAAAGCAAGCUAACGCUUGAAUACAUUAGCAUGGGAUAAUGAAAUAGGACGAUCGAUCCUAUUUUGUUGGUUUCUAGGAUUGACGUA